This 228-nucleotide ribosomal RNA is filed under the name uncultured bacterium. RNAcentral's name for it is "partial 16S ribosomal RNA". It matches the Rfam family "Bacterial small subunit ribosomal RNA", at positions 107 to 334 of the family's 1533-position model. The record is from RNAcentral.
UGAGUAACACGUAUCCAACCUGCCGUCUACUCUUGGACAGCCUUCUGAAAGGAAGAUUAAUACAAGAUGGCAUCAUGAGUUCACAUGUUCACAUGAUUAAAGGUAUUCCGGUAGACGAUGGGGAUGCGUUCCAUUAGAUAGUAGGCGGGGUAACGGCCCACCUAGUCUUCGAUGGAUAGGGGUUCUGAGAGGAAGGUCCCCCACAUUGGAACUGAGACACGGUACCAA